This 1399-nucleotide ribosomal RNA is filed under the name Enterococcus durans. Its description in RNAcentral is "bacterial SSU rRNA". It matches the Rfam family "Bacterial small subunit ribosomal RNA". Lineage: Bacteria; Bacillati; Bacillota; Bacilli; Lactobacillales; Enterococcaceae. The record is from RNAcentral.
CUCCACCGGAAAAAGAAGAGUGGCGAACGGGUGAGUAACACGUGGGUAACCUGCCCAUCAGAAGGGGAUAACACUUGGAAACAGGUGCUAAUACCGUAUAACAAUCGAAACCGCAUGGUUUUGAUUUGAAAGGCGCUUUCGGGUGUCGCUGAUGGAUGGACCCGCGGUGCAUUAGCUAGUUGGUGAGGUAACGGCUCACCAAGGCCACGAUGCAUAGCCGACCUGAGAGGGUGAUCGGCCACAUUGGGACUGAGACACGGCCCAAACUCCUACGGGAGGCAGCAGUAGGGAAUCUUCGGCAAUGGACGAAAGUCUGACCGAGCAACGCCGCGUGAGUGAAGAAGGUUUUCGGAUCGUAAAACUCUGUUGUUAGAGAAGAACAAGGAUGAGAGUAACUGUUCAUCCCUUGACGGUAUCUAACCAGAAAGCCACGGCUAACUACGUGCCAGCAGCCGCGGUAAUACGUAGGUGGCAAGCGUUGUCCGGAUUUAUUGGGCGUAAAGCGAGCGCAGGCGGUUUCUUAAGUCUGAUGUGAAAGCCCCCGGCUCAACCGGGGAGGGUCAUUGGAAACUGGGAGACUUGAGUGCAGAAGAGGAGAGUGGAAUUCCAUGUGUAGCGGUGAAAUGCGUAGAUAUAUGGAGGAACACCAGUGGCGAAGGCGGCUCUCUGGUCUGUAACUGACGCUGAGGCUCGAAAGCGUGGGGAGCAAACAGGAUUAGAUACCCUGGUAGUCCACGCCGUAAACGAUGAGUGCUAAGUGUUGGAGGGUUUCCGCCCUUCAGUGCUGCAGCUAACGCAUUAAGCACUCCGCCUGGGGAGUACGACCGCAAGGUUGAAACUCAAAGGAAUUGACGGGGGCCCGCACAAGCGGUGGAGCAUGUGGUUUAAUUCGAAGCAACGCGAAGAACCUUACCAGGUCUUGACAUCCUUUGACCACUCUAGAGAUAGAGCUUCCCCUUCGGGGGCAAAGUGACAGGUGGUGCAUGGUUGUCGUCAGCUCGUGUCGUGAGAUGUUGGGUUAAGUCCCGCAACGAGCGCAACCCUUAUUGUUAGUUGCCAUCAUUUAGUUGGGCACUCUAGCAAGACUGCCGGUGACAAACCGGAGGAAGGUGGGGAUGACGUCAAAUCAUCAUGCCCCUUAUGACCUGGGCUACACACGUGCUACAAUGGGAAGUACAACGAGUCGCGAAGUCGCGAGGCUAAGCUAAUCUCUUAAAGCUUCUCUCAGUUCGGAUUGUAGGCUGCAACUCGCCUACAUGAAGCCGGAAUCGCUAGUAAUCGCGGAUCAGCACGCCGCGGUGAAUACGUUCCCGGGCCUUGUACACACCGCCCGUCACACCACGAGAGUUUGUAACACCCGAAGUCGGUGAGGUAACCUUUUGGAGCCAGCCGCCUAAGG